Molecule: non-coding RNA, 1595 nt
Organism: Acyrthosiphon pisum (pea aphid)
Lineage: Eukaryota; Metazoa; Arthropoda; Insecta; Hemiptera; Aphididae
Source: Rfam
UUGGUGGUAGUAGCAAAUACUCGAGAGGGGCCCUCGGGGGCUGCCGUGGAGAAGGGUUUCUUGUGAACAGCCGUUGUCCAAGAGUCAGUCGAUCCUAAGCCCGGGGAGAGAUCCUCGUACCACGGGCGAAGGCGUUUUCGAAUCGCCCUUGGGGCGAGAGGGAAUCCGGUUCGUAUUCCGGAACCCGACGCGGAACCGCUCCGUAGUGUUCGGGGCUCUUUUGUCUCGUCUGGGUAACCAGAAUGAACUCGAAGAAGCCGCCGGGGGAUCUGGGUAGAGUUCUCUUUUCUCUGUGAGCGUUGUACGUCCCUGGAAUCCUCUAGCCGGGCGAUAGGGACGCGAGCGCGAAGAGCACCGCUCGUUGCGGCGGUGUCCGUGAUCCCCACGCGGACCUUGAAAAUUCGAGAGAGGGCCACGCGGAGUCUUCGCGUCGGUUCGUACCGAUAUCCGCAGCAGGUCUCCGAGGUGAGCAGCCUCUAGCCGCAUAGAAUAAUGUAGGUAAGGGAAGUCGGCAAAACCGAUCCGUAACUUCGGGAUAAGGAUUGGCUCUGAGGAGCGUGGCUGCCGGGUUCGGGUCGUCGUAGAAGCGUAGGCGUUUUUGGCGACACCCCGGCCGUCGCCCGUGCGCCCGGUCUUCGGAACGGGAGCCUCGAGGCGGCCGCGGGCCCGUCGCCGUCCGCCGACCGUGGAACCACCGAGCUUCGGUCGCUGGCCGCGUCGCGGCCGGCCGACCGCCUUGGUGUCGGUUCGCCGUCACCGGGCGGUCCGGCCGCCGCGCCGUCGGUCGCGUAGCCGGAUCGACAGCCAUGUAACGGUCAACUCAGAACUGGCACGGACCAGGGGAAUCCGACUGUCUAAUUAAAACAAAGCAUCGCGAUGGCCCGGGACGGGUGUUGACGCGAUGUGAUUUCUGCCCAGUGCUCUGUAUGUCAACGUGAAGAAAUUCAAGCAAGCGCGGGUAAACGGCAGGAGUAACUAUGACUCUUUUAAGGUAGCCAAAUGCCUCGUCAUCUAAUUAGUGACGCGCAUGAAUGGAUUAACGAGAUUCUCACUGUCCCUAUCUACUAUCUAGCGAAACCACAGCCAAGGGAACGGGCUUGGAAAAAUCAGCGGGGAAAGAAGACCCUGUUGAGCUUGACUCUAAUCUGGCAUUGUUCGGAGACAUGCCGAGGUGUAGCAUACGUGGGAGACCCGGACCAAGGCGGGCGGUUUCGGCCGUUCGUCUCCGGGCCGACCUUGAAAUACCACUACUCGCAUCGUUUCCCCACUUACUCGGUAGAGCGGAACGCGCGGUUCCGGCCGCGGGCGCGUCCGGCCGGCGGUCGUCGUCCCGUCGCGUCGUCGGUUUGCCGUCGGUUCGCCGGCGCGCUACUGGCGCGCGGCGUGGUCGCCGUGCCGUCGGCCUGUGCCCGUUCGUGCCGGGCCGCGGUUGAUAUUCCGGUAGCGUUAAGCACCAGCCGAGGGAUCCGGGCGUCAAACCGCGGACCGCGUCCGUCCGCGUACGGCCGACCGUCAAAAGUCGCCGUCCGCGUUCGCGGCGUAUCCGCGGGCCCGGUCCCUGGUGCGAUCCGUAUUCCGAGGACACCGCCAGGUGG